Molecule: ribosomal RNA, 433 nt
Filed under: uncultured bacterium
Lineage: Bacteria
Description: bacterial SSU rRNA
Rfam family: Bacterial small subunit ribosomal RNA
Source: RNAcentral
GAUGAACGCUGGCGGCGUGCUUAACACAUGCAAGUCGAACGAACCUUCGGGUUAGUGGCGGACGGGUGAGUAACGCGUGAGAAUCUGCCCUCAGGAGGGGGACAACAGUUGGAAACGACUGCUAAUACCCCAUAUGCCGCGAGGUGAAAUGAAUUUCGCCUGAGGAUGAGCUCGCGUCUGAUUAGCUAGUUGGUGUAGGUAAUGGCUCACCAAGGCAUCGAUCAGUAGCUGGUCUGAGAGGAUGAUCAGCCACACUGGGACUGAGACACGGCCCAGACUCCUACGGGAGUCAGCAGUGGGGAAUUUUCCGCAAUGGGCGAAAGCCUGACGGAGCAACGCCGCGUGAGGGAUGAAGGCCUCUGGGCUGUAAACCUCUUUUAUCAAGGAAGAAGAUCUGACGGUACUUGAUGGAUAAGCCACGGCUAAUUCCGGG